UAGUUCGGAUUGUAGGCUGAAACUCGCCUACAUGAAGCUGGAAUUGCUAGUAAUCACAGGUCAGCAUACUGUGGUGAAUACGUUCCCGGGCCUUGUACACACCGCCCGUCACACCAUGAGAGUUGGGAACACCCGAAGUCCGUAGUCUAACCGCAAGGGGGCGCGGCCGAAGGUGGGUCCGGUAAUUGGGGUGAAGUCGUAACAAGGUAUC
RNAcentral lists this ribosomal RNA (211 nucleotides) under uncultured bacterium. Its description in RNAcentral is "partial 16S ribosomal RNA". It matches the Rfam family "Bacterial small subunit ribosomal RNA", at positions 1288 to 1500 of the family's 1533-position model. The record is from RNAcentral.